This 461-nucleotide ribosomal RNA is filed under the name uncultured bacterium. Its description in RNAcentral is "partial 16S ribosomal RNA". It matches the Rfam family "Bacterial small subunit ribosomal RNA", at positions 338 to 795 of the family's 1533-position model. The record is from RNAcentral.
CCUACGGGUGGCAGCAGUGAGGAAUAUUGGUCAAUGGGCGGAAGCCUGAACCAGCCAAGUCGCGUGAGGGACUAAGGCCCUACGGGUCGUAAACCUCUUUUGCCGGGGAUCAGUGCCCAGCUCGCGAGCUGGGAGGGAGCGUACCCGGAGAAAAAGCAUCGGCUAACUCCAUGCCAGCAGCCGCGGUAAUACGUAGGAUGCGAGCGUUAUCCGGAUUUAUUGGGUUUAAAGGGUGCGUCGGCGGCGCUUCAGGUCAGCGGUGAAAUACCGGGGCUUAACCCCGGGGCUGCCGUUGAAACCGGAGCGCUAGAAGUCCGAUGACGUCGGAGGAAUGUGUGGUGUAGCGGUGAAAUGCAUAGAUAUCACACAGAACACCGAUUGCGAAGGCAUCUGACGAAUCGGAGAUUGACGCUGAUGCACGAAAGCGUGGGUAUCGAACAGGAUUAGAUACCCCAGUAGUC